RNAcentral lists this transfer RNA (82 nucleotides) under Ustulina deusta. Its description in RNAcentral is "Kretzschmaria deusta tRNA-Asp". It matches the Rfam family "tRNA". Rfam says of the family: Transfer RNA (tRNA) molecules are approximately 80 nucleotides in length. Their secondary structure includes four short double-helical elements and three loops (D, anti-codon, and T loops). Lineage: Eukaryota; Fungi; Ascomycota; Sordariomycetes; Xylariales; Xylariaceae. The record is from RNAcentral.
UCUCGAUUGGUCUAGUGGUGAGGAUACCUGCUUGUCAUGAAACAAUUCGCAGGUGGCCGGGGUUCGAUUCCCCGAUCGAGAG